RNAcentral lists this ribosomal RNA (460 nucleotides) under uncultured bacterium. RNAcentral describes it as "partial 16S ribosomal RNA". It matches the Rfam family "Bacterial small subunit ribosomal RNA", at positions 338 to 795 of the family's 1533-position model. The record is from RNAcentral.
CCUACGGGUGGCAGCAGUGAGGAAUAUUGGUCAAUGGACGGAAGUCUGAACCAGCCAUGCCGCGUGCAGGAUGACGGCUCUAUGAGUUGUAAACUGCUUUUGUAUUAAGGUAAACACCCCUACGUGUCUGGGCUCGAAAGUAUAAUACGAAUACGGAUCGGCUAACUCCGCGCCAGCAGCCGCGGUAAUACGGAGGAUCCAAGCGUUGUGCGGAUUUAUUGGGUUUAAAGGGUGCGUAGGCGGUGUGAUAAGUUAGAGGUGAAAUACCGGGGCUCAACACAGGAACUGCCUCUCAUACUGUUGAACUAGAGAGUAGUUGCGGUAGGCGGAAUGUAUGGUGUAGCGGUGAAAUGCGUAGAGAUCAGACAGAACACCAGUUGCGAAGGCAGCUUACCAAACUAUAUCUGACGUUGAGGCACGAAAGCGUGGGUAGCAAACAGGAUUAGAUACCCGAGUAGUC